Molecule: long non-coding RNA, 406 nt
Organism: Quercus robur (English oak)
Lineage: Eukaryota; Viridiplantae; Streptophyta; Magnoliopsida; Fagales; Fagaceae
Exons: 2
Source: RefSeq, a predicted model, not a curated record
ACUUUGUCCACUUGAGCUUCAAUCCGUUUGCUCUCCAUUACCCACCUCAACCUCAUACGAUAAAAAAACACAUUUUAAUAGAAAUCACAACAUAAGAUGGAUCAAAACCACGAACCCUUAAACUCUUUCCUAGAAUCAUGAAAAUCCCCAAAGCACCAUAUCCACGCUCUCUCUUCUUCUUUACUUCUUCAACUUCUACUCUCAGAUCCUCUCCUAUCCUUUCAAUCAAGCUUGCUCAUUUCCAAACCCUUUUUGUCAAACCAAAAAGCACACAAAGAUGCUCACUGAAGGCUUGGGUGAAAGCGCAAUCAAGUGGGUCAAACAGGGAUCAGAUUUACAAGUGGAAGAACCCCCACUAGUUCGAUCUCCUUUAACAGAGAAGAUUGGAUGUGGCCCAUUUCCAAAA